This 85-nucleotide transfer RNA is filed under the name Felis catus (domestic cat). It matches the Rfam family "tRNA". Rfam says of the family: Transfer RNA (tRNA) molecules are approximately 80 nucleotides in length. Their secondary structure includes four short double-helical elements and three loops (D, anti-codon, and T loops). Further hydrogen bonds mediate the characteristic L-shaped molecular structure. tRNAs have two regions of fundamental functional importance: the anti-codon, which is responsible for specific mRNA codon recognition, and the 3' end, to which the tRNAs corresponding amino acid is attached (by aminoacyl-tRNA synthetases). tRNAs cope with the degeneracy of the genetic code in two manners: having more than one tRNA (with a specific anti-codon) for a particular amino acid; and 'wobble' base-pairing, i.e. permitting non-standard base-pairing at the 3rd anti-codon position. The record is from Rfam by way of RNAcentral. Lineage: Eukaryota; Metazoa; Chordata; Mammalia; Carnivora; Felidae.
GCCUAGGUGGCUCAGUCUGUUGAGCAUCUGACUUCAGCUCAGAUCAUGAACUCACGGUUCAUGAGUUCAAGCCCCAUGUCGGGCU